GAGUUUGAUCUUGGCUCAGAUUGAACGCUGGCGGCAUGCCUUACACAUGCAAGUCGAACGGCAGCACGGGAGCUUGCUCCUGGUGGCGAGUGGCGAACGGGUGAGUAAUGCAUCGGAACGUAUCCUGGAGUGGGGGAUAACGUAGCGAAAGUUACGCUAAUACCGCAUAUUCUGUGAGCAGGAAAGCGGGGGACCUUCGGGCCUCGCGCUCUUGGAGCGGCCGAUGUCGGAUUAGCUAGUUGGUGAGGUAAAGGCUCACCAAGGCGACGAUCCGUAGCAGGUCUGAGAGGAUGAUCUGCCACACUGGAACUGAGACACGGUCCAGACUCCUACGGGAGGCAGCAGUGGGGAAUUUUGGACAAUGGGGCAAUCCUGAUCCAGCCAUGCCGCGUGAGUGAAGAAGGCC
Molecule: ribosomal RNA, 406 nt
Filed under: bacterium enrichment culture clone ALO1_GLFRUDD03FXQ9J
Lineage: Bacteria
Description: bacterial SSU rRNA
Rfam family: Bacterial small subunit ribosomal RNA
Source: RNAcentral